AGAGUGGUUACCACCAUCCUCGGCUUCUCUGACGCGCCAUCUCCACCGUCCGCCGUCAAUCCCCACCGCGCCACAGCCGCCGCCCGGAUGGCCGCGGCUGGCGCCUUCUCCCCCCUCUCCGGCACCCUCCUCCGCCGCCGCAUACCCCUCCACCAUCACCGCCGCUUCCUCUCCAUCGCGGCCGCUGCCUCGGAAGCCCCCGCGCCUGCCCCCACCCCGUCCCAGCCGCCGCCGCCGCCGCGUCCACGCGGAAAGGGGUACUUCCCCAAGAAGAACGAGAUCCUCGAGCUGACCUGCGAGGGGCUCGCCUUCAAGGGGAAGGGCGUCUGCAAGGUCGACGGCUCCUCCUUCGUCCUGCUCUGCGACGGCGCUCUCCCCGGCGAGCGCCUCGUGGCUCGCGUCCGUCGCCUCCGCCGCGGCGCCUUCGCCGAGGCCGCCAAGCUCAAGACCCUCUCGCCCCACCACGACGCCGUCGAGGCCCCCUGCCCCCUCGCCGCCGACUGCGGCGGCUGCAAGAGCCAGUCCCUCGCCUACUCUGCGCAAAUCCACCACAAGUACGUCCAGGUCCGCGACCUGCUGGUAAAUUUCGGCAAGUUUGACCCCAGGAAGCUGGAGAGCUCGGAUUCAGACGCCGUCCUUAAGCCCAUCGUGCCGUGCGACGAGAUAUUUCGGUACAGGAACAAGAUGGAGUUCUCGUUUGGGACGAAGAGGUGGAUGAAAAGGGAGUGGAAGGAGGAGAAAGAGGAGGUGUCGAAGGGGGAAGAGUUGGAGACUGAUGGUUAUUCACUUGGCCUCCAUGCACCAGGGUUCUUUGACAAGGUGCUUCACGUCGAGACGUGCUUGCUGCACAGUGAGCCGGCAGAUAAGGUUCUUGCAGUUGUUCAAGGAAGUUGGACGGAUCCGGCUCUUGGCCUCACGCCUUACGAUGUCUACAAGCACACUGGGUUUCUCAAGCAUCUAAUGAUACGAACUGGAAGAAAUGUCAGCACUGGAGCUCCAGAAGUGAUGGUCAAUUUUGUGACAUCAUGUUAUAAACCUGAGCUACUGGUGCCUCUUGUGGAUAGAAUCACAAAAAUAUCUGAAGUGGUAAGUGUCGUAAAUAAUGUGAAUACAUCUGUUGGCAAUACAUCCGUGGGUGAGCAAGAAUAUACCUUGUACGGGAAACCGACCAUUACAGAAAUGUUGAGAGGACUUACAUUCCAGAUAUCUGCCAACUCCUUUUUCCAGACUAAUACAAAACAGGCUGAUGUUCUUUAUAAGCUUAUUGGAGAUUCUGCUGGGCUUAAAGGAGAUGGCUCUGAGAUUGUUCUUGACUUGUUUUGUGGAACUGGAACCAUUGGACUGACUCUUGCUAGAAGUGCAAAGCAUGUUUAUGGAUAUGAAGUUGUCCCUGAAGCCAUUGCGGAUGCCCAAAAGAAUGCGCAGUUGAAUGGUAUCAGUAAUGCUACAUUUGUUCAGGGAGACCUUAACAAAAUCAAUGAAACAUUUGGGAAGGAAUUUCCAAAGCCUGACAUAAUCAUAUCAGAUCCUAAUCGUCCUGGGAUGCACAUGAAGUUAAUCAAGUGGCUGCUGGAAGUUAAAGCCCCUCGAAUAGUGUACGUCUCGUGUAAUCCAGCUACUUGUGCACGGGAUCUGGACUAUCUAUGUCAUGGCGUGGAGGAGAAAGGCCUGAGAGGGUGCUACGAGCUGAAGCGUGUAAUACCUGUCGAUAUGUUUCCCCACACUCCUCAUAUUGAGUGUGUUUGCUUAUUGGAGCUGUGCUGAUUUUCAGUUCUGUUCAGCUAGAGCCACCAGAAGGUUUUCAUUUGCUUCCUUAUCCUGCAUAAUCACUUAUUCUUCUGCUCUUAUAAGGUGUAACCAUCCUUCUACUUGUGGUUCAGAGAUUCAUAUUCUGAAAUGGGGUACACCUAUUUUUGAGAUAGAGUAUAAUAUCCACGCGGCAUAUCAUGCACUGUAGUUUACUGAAGUUAACAAGACGCCCUGAUUGCUGAAUGUAUUGUUCAGUUAGCAUAUCUCAAGCAGAAGAGGCACACAACGCGAAUGUGACGUACUGUGUGGGUUGAAGCCCCGGAACUGGAAGCGCCCUAUAGAAGGACUCUGGGAAAAUCUUCGACAGUUGUUGAGGUUUUGCUCAUUGUUUGCACGCAGGCGAUACAUUCUGUAAGCAGUAAGAAAAGAAUGGAUGAAUUUGUCUGAUCUCUUCACGAUGGUGUGUCAGAAUUUAAAUUUGCUUCCGGGACAUCCUUGACUCCUCCCAUAGCUGAUGCUGAAUCGUGGCUCGUUCUUUUGUUCGACUGAAUUUUGGUUCGUGGUUGGCAUGUACUGUGUACAAUUUUUCCUUUUUUUGAUUGAUGAUGAUGUCGUUGAGUACUUUCAAGGAACAUGUAAGACCCGUUAAGUUAGAAACGCAAAUGGUGGAGAACUGGAGAUGGAAUCGAAAAUGCCUUUUCGAAUCCUGGGCUGUACCUAUAUUUCGGGAAAUAAAAAUUGAAAUGUCGACA
Non-coding RNA from Aegilops tauschii subsp. strangulata, 2501 nucleotides. Lineage: Eukaryota; Viridiplantae; Streptophyta; Magnoliopsida; Poales; Poaceae. The record is from RefSeq and is a predicted model, not a curated record.